Molecule: ribosomal RNA, 209 nt
Filed under: uncultured eukaryote
Lineage: Eukaryota
Description: partial 18S ribosomal RNA
Rfam family: Eukaryotic small subunit ribosomal RNA
Source: RNAcentral
UUAAAGUUGUUGAGGUUAAAAAGCUCGUAGUUGAACCUUGGGCCUAGCCGGCCGGUCCGCCUCACCGCGUGCACUGGCUCGGUUGGGCCUUUCUUUCUGGAGAACCCCAUGUCCUUCACUGGGUGUGGUGGGGAACCAGGACUUUUACCGUGAACAAAUCAGAUCGCUUAAAGAAGGCCUAUGCUCGAGUGUAUUAGCAUGGAAUAAUG